This 583-nucleotide ribosomal RNA is filed under the name Rhizobium sp. Its description in RNAcentral is "bacterial SSU rRNA". It matches the Rfam family "Bacterial small subunit ribosomal RNA", at positions 50 to 681 of the family's 1533-position model. The record is from RNAcentral. Lineage: Bacteria; Pseudomonadati; Pseudomonadota; Alphaproteobacteria; Hyphomicrobiales; Rhizobiaceae.
AACACAUGCAAGUCGAGCGCCCCGCAAGGGGAGCGGCAGACGGGUGAGUAACGCGUGGGAAUCUACCCAUCUCUACGGAAUAACUCAGGGAAACUUGUGCUAAUACCGUAUACGCCCUUCGGGGGAAAGAUUUAUCGGAGAUGGAUGAGCCCGCGUUGGAUUAGCUAGUUGGUGGGGUAAAGGCCUACCAAGGCGACGAUCCAUAGCUGGUCUGAGAGGAUGAUCAGCCACAUUGGGACUGAGACACGGCCCAAACUCCUACGGGAGGCAGCAGUGGGGAAUAUUGGACAAUGGGCGCAAGCCUGAUCCAGCCAUGCCGCGUGAGUGAUGAAGGCCUUAGGGUUGUAAAGCUCUUUCACCGGAGAAGAUAAUGACGGUAUCCGGAGAAGAAGCCCCGGCUAACUUCGUGCCAGCAGCCGCGGUAAUACGAAGGGGGCUAGCGUUGUUCGGAAUUACUGGGCGUAAAGCGCACGUAGGCGGAUCGAUCAGUCAGGGGUGAAAUCCCAGAGCUCAACUCUGGAACUGCCUUUGAUACUGUCGAUCUAGAGUAUGGAAGAGGUGAGUGGAAUUCCGAGUGUAGAGG